UUCUCACCAGUGCAUUAUGAGAGCACCAUAGCUAUUCCUCUGCUUUGAGUGGACUGUGGGCUGAGGGUGGCAGCCCAUCACAGGACUGAGGGGGGCAGAUCCUGUAGAGUUCUUCAUGGAGGAUACUCCUGGUGCUGAGCAUAUGCAGAGCAAGUGGAAAUAUUGGAGCACAUUUUCCUUUGCAUUACUGGAGUAAAGCACUUAUGCAGUAUGAGAGGAUUUAAACUAUUCCUCUGCCUUGAGUGGACUUGGACACAAAUAUGGCAGCCCAACUGAGGACUGAGAGGGUCAGAUCUUGUCGAGUUCUUUAUGGGUGAUACUCGUGCUGCUGAAGGGAUGCAGACAGUGGAAGUAUUGGAGCAACUUUUCUUUUGCAUCAUGG
Molecule: long non-coding RNA, 382 nt
Organism: Saccostrea cuccullata (small rock oyster)
Lineage: Eukaryota; Metazoa; Mollusca; Bivalvia; Ostreida; Ostreidae
Exons: 3
Source: RefSeq, a predicted model, not a curated record